This 256-nucleotide ribosomal RNA is filed under the name uncultured bacterium. RNAcentral's name for it is "partial 16S ribosomal RNA". It matches the Rfam family "Bacterial small subunit ribosomal RNA", at positions 793 to 1055 of the family's 1533-position model. The record is from RNAcentral.
GUCCACGCCCUAAACGAUGAUAACUCGCUGUUGGCGAUACACAGCCAGCGGCCAAGCGAAAGCAUUAAGUUAUCCACCUGGGGAGUACGACCGCAAGGUUGAAACUCAAAGGAAUUGACGGGGCCGCACAAGCGGAGGAGCAUGUGGUUUAAUUCGAUGAUACGCGAGGAACCUUACCUGGGCUUGAAAGUUAGCGACCGACUCAGAAAAGAGUCUUUCAGAAAUGACGCGAAACUAGGUGCUGCAUGGCUGUCGU